CCUGGUGGUGCACGUCCCCAACCUUAUGUGGAUUUCCUAAAUUCUGCAAAAAAGGUUUGGAAGCUGAUCAAUCAAUACUGGAACUCCCUCUUCUCCAGAAGAGACAUCCUGGCCUCCAUGCAGAGGAAUGUGUGGAUGGACAUAUAUUUAAGGAAGACACUAAACCAGAAAAUACUACAUUACACCCUCUUAAAAGACUUCUAAGAUUGUUGUCAUGCCUACCACAGACAUUCAGAUGAUGUGUAUUGUUGAUUGUGAUUUCAUGUUUGGACCUGAUGAAGGAGUUUGAAGUCUCCAGAGCAGCAAAGAGAGUGGGGAGUAGAACUCAUCAUCUUUAGGUCACUCAUCAUCG
Molecule: long non-coding RNA, 352 nt
Filed under: Mus musculus (house mouse)
Lineage: Eukaryota; Metazoa; Chordata; Mammalia; Rodentia; Muridae
Description: predicted gene 28522
Source: RNAcentral